CCUACGGGAGGCAGCAGUGAGGAAUAUUGGUCAAUGGCCGCGAGCCUGAACCAGCCAAGUAGCGUGAAGGAUGACUGCCCUACGGGUUGUAAACUUCUUUUAUAAAGGAAUAAAGUGAGGCACGUGUGCCUUUUUGCAUGUACUUCAUGAAUAAGGAUCGGCUAAUUCCGUGCCAGCAGCCGCGGUAAUACGGAGGAUCCGAGCGUUAUCCGGAUUUAUUGGGUUUAAAGGGAGCGUAGAUGGGUUGUUAAGCGUGUGGUGAAAGUUUGUGGCUCAACCGUAAAAUUGCGGUGGGUACUGGAAGCCUUGAGUGCAGUGGAGGUAGGCGGAAUUCGUGGUGUAGCGGUGAAAUGCUUAGAUAUCACGAAGAACCCCGAUUGCGAAGGCAGCUUACUAAAGUGUGACUGACAUUGAUGCUCGAAAGUGUGGGUAUCGAACAGGAUUAGAUACCCGAGUAGUC
This 460-nucleotide ribosomal RNA is filed under the name uncultured bacterium. Its description in RNAcentral is "partial 16S ribosomal RNA". It matches the Rfam family "Bacterial small subunit ribosomal RNA", at positions 338 to 795 of the family's 1533-position model. The record is from RNAcentral.